GGACUGGCGAGCGUGGAUUAGGCGAUAGCAAGUCGAACGGGAGUCGCCGAGUAGCAAUAAUGAGGCGUGAGAGUGGCGGAUGGCGAGUAACACGUGAGCAACCUGCCCUGAGGUUGGGGAAAACCGGACUGGAAACGGACGGCUAAUAAUCCGAUGGAGCGCCCAUGGACAUGAGUGGAGCGCGAAAGGGGGCCCGCAAGGGCUCCCGCCACGGGAUGGGCUCGCGCAUCAUCAGCUUGUUGGCGGGGUAACGGCCCACCAAGGCGUACGAUUAGCUGGUCUGAGAGGAUGACCAGCCGCACUGGGACUGAGAUACUGCCCAGACUCCUACGGGAGGCUGCAGUCGAGGAUCAUUCGCAAUGGGGGAAACCCUGACGAUGCGACGCUGCGUGGAGGAAUGAAGGCCUUCGGGUUGUAAACUCCUGUCAUGAGGGAAAAGGCGAGGGGACCCAACACGUCUCUUAGUUGAUGGUACCUCAAGAGGAAGGGACGGCUAACUCUGUGCCAGCCGCUGC
This 515-nucleotide ribosomal RNA is filed under the name uncultured bacterium. Its description in RNAcentral is "bacterial SSU rRNA". It matches the Rfam family "Bacterial small subunit ribosomal RNA", at positions 36 to 518 of the family's 1533-position model. The record is from RNAcentral.